UAGGGAAUCUUCGGCAAUGGGGGCAACCCUGACCGAGCAACGCCGCGUGAGUGAAGAAGGUUUUCGGAUCGUAAAGCUCUGUUGUAAGAGAAGAACGUGUGUGAGAGUGGAAAGUUCACACAGUGACGGUAACUUACCAGAAAGGGACGGCUAACUACGUGCCAGCAGCCUUGGUAAUACGUAGGUCCCGAGCGUUGUCCGGAUUUAUUGGGCGUAAAGCGAGCGCAGGCGGUUUAAUAAGUCUGAAGUUAAAGGCAGUGGCUUAACCAUUGUUCGCUUUGGAAACUGUUAAACUUGAGUGCAGAAGGGGAGAGUGGAAUUCCAUGUGUAGCGGUGAAAUGCGUAGAUAUAUGGAGGAACACCGGUGGCGAAAGCGGCUCUCUGGUCUGUAACUGACGCUGAGGCUCGAAAGCGUGGGGAGCAAACAGG
Molecule: ribosomal RNA, 429 nt
Filed under: bacterium
Lineage: Bacteria
Description: partial 16S ribosomal RNA
Rfam family: Bacterial small subunit ribosomal RNA
Source: RNAcentral